This 254-nucleotide ribosomal RNA is filed under the name uncultured bacterium. Its description in RNAcentral is "partial 16S ribosomal RNA". It matches the Rfam family "Bacterial small subunit ribosomal RNA", at positions 524 to 776 of the family's 1533-position model. The record is from RNAcentral.
UACGGGGGGGGGCACGCGUUGUUCGGAAUUACUGGGCGUAAAGGGCGCGUAGGCGGCCUUCUAAGUCGAACGUGAAAUCCCUGGGCUCAACCCAGGAACUGCGUCCGAUACUGGGAGGCUUGAAUCCGGGAGAGGGAUGUGGAAUUCCAGGUGUAGCGGUGAAAUGCGUAGAUAUCUGGAGGAACAUCGGUGGCGAAGGCGGCAUCCUGGACCGGUAUUGACGCUGAUGCGCGAAAGCCAGGGGAGCAAACGGG